This 1508-nucleotide ribosomal RNA is filed under the name Stenotrophomonas rhizophila. RNAcentral's name for it is "partial 23S ribosomal RNA". It matches the Rfam family "Bacterial large subunit ribosomal RNA", at positions 1 to 1561 of the family's 2925-position model. Lineage: Bacteria; Pseudomonadati; Pseudomonadota; Gammaproteobacteria; Lysobacterales; Lysobacteraceae. The record is from RNAcentral.
GUUAUAUGGUCAAGCGAAUAAGCGCACACGGUGGAUGCCUUGGCGGUCAGAGGCGAUGAAGGACGUGGCAGCCUGCGAAAAGUAUCGGGGAGCUGGCAACAAGCUUUGAUCCGGUAAUGUCCGAAUGGGGAAACCCACCCGCUUGCGGGUAUCCUGCAGUGAAUACAUAGCUGCUGGAAGCGAACCUGGUGAACUGAAAUAUCUAAGUAACCAGAGGAAAAGAAAUCAACCGAGAUUCCCUGAGUAGCGACGAGCGAACGGGGACUAGCCCUUAAGCUGGAAUGGUUCUAGAAAAACAGCCUGGAACGGCUGGCCAUAGAAGGUGAUAGCCCUGUAUUUAAAAGGGCCACUCCAGUGAAGACGAGUAGGGCGGGGCACGUGAAACCCUGUCUGAACAUGGGGGGACCAUCCUCCAAGGCUAAAUACUACUGACCGACCGAUAGUGAACCAGUACCGUGAGGGAAAGGCGAAAAGAACCCCGGAGAGGGGAGUGAAAUAGAUCCUGAAACCGUGUGCGUACAAGCAGUAGGAGCUCGAAAGAGUGACUGCGUACCUUUUGUAUAAUGGGUCAGCGACUUACUGUUCGUGGCAAGCUUAACCGUAUAGGGGAGGCGAAGGGAAACCGAGUCUGAUAAGGGCGCAUAGUCGCGGGCAGUAGACCCGAAACCGGGUGAUCUAGUCAUGGCCAGGGUGAAGGUGCCGUAACAGGUACUGGAGGCCCGAACCCACGUCUGUUGCAAAAGACGGGGAUGAGCUGUGAUUAGGAGUGAAAAGCUAAUCGAACCCGGAGAUAGCUGGUUCUCCUCGAAAGCUAUUUAGGUAGCGCCUCAUAUGUAUCCUCUCGGGGGUAGAGCACUGUUAUGGCUAGGGGGUCAUCGCGACUUACCAAACCAUUGCAAACUCCGAAUACCGAGACGGACUGUAUGGGAGACACACGGCGGGUGCUAACGUCCGUCGUGAAAAGGGAAACAACCCAGACCCACAGCUAAGGUCCCAAAUUCACUGCUAAGUGGAAAACCAUGUGGAAAGGCACAGACAGCCAGGAGGUUGGCUUAGAAGCAGCCACCCUUUAAAGAAAGCGUAAUAGCUCACUGGUCGAGUCGGUCUGCGGGGAAGAUUUAACGGGGCUAAGCAGUGAACCGAAGCUUGGGGUGUGCAUAUUUAUAUGUACGCGGUAGAGGAGCGUUCCGUAAGCCGUUGAAGGUGGAUUGAGAAGUCUGCUGGAGGUAUCGGAAGUGCGAAUGCUGACAUGAGUAACGAUAAUGCGGGUGAAAAACCCGCACGCCGAAAGCCCAAGGUUUCCUUGCGCAACGUUAAUCGGCGCAGGGUGAGUCGGCCCCUAAGGCGAGGACGAAAGUCGUAGUCGAUGGGAAGCAGGUUAAUAUUCCUGCACCUCGCGUAAGUGCGAUGGAGGGACGGAGAAGGUUAGGUGUACCCGGCGUUGGUUGUCCGGGGGAAAGGCGGUAGGUUUGGAUCUUUGGCAAAUCCGGGAUCCUUUAAGACCGAGC